This 237-nucleotide unclassified non-coding RNA is filed under the name uncultured fungus. RNAcentral's name for it is "sequence contains ITS2". The stretch from base 1 to 52 matches the Rfam family "5.8S ribosomal RNA", at positions 103 to 154 of the family's 154-position model. Lineage: Eukaryota; Fungi. The record is from RNAcentral.
AACGCACAUUGCGCCCUCUGGUAUUCCGGGGGGCAUGCCUGUUCGAGCGUCAUUACAACCCUCAAGCUCUGCUUGGUAUUGGGUGUCACCGCUUUGGUGCACCCUAAAAUCAGUGGCGGUGUCACCUGGCUCCUAGCGUAGUAAUACUUCUCGCUAUAGAGCCUAGGUGUAUGCUUGCCAUAAACCCCCACUCUCAAGGUUGACCUCGGAUCAGGUAGGGAUACCCGCUGAACUUAA